Molecule: ribosomal RNA, 468 nt
Filed under: uncultured bacterium
Lineage: Bacteria
Description: partial 16S ribosomal RNA
Rfam family: Bacterial small subunit ribosomal RNA
Source: RNAcentral
GACGAACGCUGGCGGCGUGCUUAACACAUGCAAGUCGAACGGAAAGGCCCUGCUUUUGUGGGGUGCUCGAGUGGCGAACGGGUGAGUAACACGUGAGUAACCUGCCCUUGACUUUGGGAUAACUUCAGGAAACUGGGGCUAAUACCGGAUAGGAGCUCCUGCUGCAUGGUGGGGGUUGGAAAGUUUCGGCGGUUGGGGCUGGACUCGCGGCUUAUCAGCUUGUUGGUGGGGUAGUGGCUUACCAAGGCUUUGACGGGUAGCCGGCCUGAGAGGGUGACCGGCCACCUGGGGACUGAGAUACGGCGCAGACUCCUACGGGAGGCAGCGGUGGGGAAUAUUGCACAGUGGGCGGGAGCCUGAUGCAGCAACGCCGCGUGCGGGAUGACGGCCUUCGGGUUGUAAACCGCUUUCGCCUGUGACGAAGCGUGAGUGACGGUAAUGGGUAAAGAAGCACCGGCUAACUACGUG